GAUCUUUAUUUCUGUCAUUUUCUCAGUGGUCACAGGGUCUAUGCUGCUUAAUCUUUUUUAUUUCCACGUGGAUUAAUGAGGGCUGUGUGGCUCUGUCUUUGUCCCCUGAUGAGUCCCAGGGACAAGCAUCUGUGGGAUUCAACAUUGCUUCUCAGAGCAAGAUUUUCACCGUGUAGAUAAAUGCCGCAGUGGAGGGGGCUCAUAAACGAGCUCUCGAGGCAGUUUUGUUAGGCUCCAAAAAAGGCUUUCACGAGGUCAAUGCCGGUGGCAUAAGUACCUGCUGGGCUUCCCAGGACAGCAGCUGACAGCACAGGCUUGGCAGACACCCCUGAGAGAGUCUUCGGCACAUAUGAUGUCCUCUAUUGAUGUUUGCUGAAUAGAUGAGGAUGCCAAAAGAGGGAGGAGAUACCAAAAGAGGGAAAGAAGGACACCCAGAAGACAAAUGGUGCUCACCUUGAGCCUCGAGGUCUUUAGGAAAACGGUGACUCUGGAGCACAGCCCUGGAUCCCUGAUGGCAGGUGGAUGAAUCUGCUCCCCACCUGGAUGCUGCUAGUCCUUUCUCCAGGCUCCGUGACUGAAAAUGUGCUUUACUUGGCAAAAGCUGUUUCUCCUCAGAACUCUAGAAAUCAGAUCUUGGCCCACCUCU
RNAcentral lists this long non-coding RNA (646 nucleotides) under Homo sapiens (human). RNAcentral describes it as "HSALNT0403808". The record is from RNAcentral. Lineage: Eukaryota; Metazoa; Chordata; Mammalia; Primates; Hominidae.